RNAcentral lists this ribosomal RNA (427 nucleotides) under uncultured bacterium. Its description in RNAcentral is "partial 16S ribosomal RNA". It matches the Rfam family "Bacterial small subunit ribosomal RNA", at positions 354 to 796 of the family's 1533-position model. The record is from RNAcentral.
GUGGGGAAUAUUGGGCAAUGGGGGAAACCCUGACCCAGCGACGCCGCGUGAGGGAAGACGGCCUUCGGGUUGUAAACCUCUUUUGUACGGGAAGAAGGAAGUGACGGUACUGUACGAAUAAGUCCCGGCUAACUACGUGCCAGCAGCCGCGGUAAUACGUAGGGGACGAGCGUUGUCCGGAAUUACUGGGCGUAACGGGCGCGCAGGCUGUGCUGCAAGUCAGCUGUGAAAUGUCUGGGCUUAACCCGGGCAUGCGGUUGAGACUGCAGUGCUGGAGUGCUGUAGAGGCAAGUGGAAUUCCCAGUGUAGCGGUGAAAUGCGUAGAUAUUGGGAAGAACACCGGUGGCGAAGGCGACUUGCUGGGCAGCAACUGACGCUGAGGCGCGAAAGCCAGGGGAGCAAACGGGAUUAGAUACCCGUGUAGUCC